UACGGGGGGGGCAAGCGUUGUUCGGAAUUACUGGGCGUAAAGGGUUUGUAGGUGGCUUGUUAAGUCAGACGUGAAAUCCCUCAGCUUAGCUGGGGAACUGCGUCUGAGACUGGUGAGCUUGAGUGCAGGAGAGGAACGCGGAAUUCCAGGUGUAGCGGUGAAAUGCGUAGAUAUCGGGAGGAACACCAGUGGCGAAGGCGACUACCUGGCCUGUUCUUGACGCUGAGGCGCGAAAGCUAGGGGAGCAAACGGG
Molecule: ribosomal RNA, 253 nt
Filed under: uncultured bacterium
Lineage: Bacteria
Description: partial 16S ribosomal RNA
Rfam family: Bacterial small subunit ribosomal RNA
Source: RNAcentral